GGGGGUAUAGCUCAGUUGGUAGAGUGCCUGCCUCAUGUGCAUAAGGCCCUGGGUUCAAUCCCCAGCAUCACCA
This 73-nucleotide transfer RNA is filed under the name Ictidomys tridecemlineatus (thirteen-lined ground squirrel). Its description in RNAcentral is "Spermophilus tridecemlineatus (thirteen-lined ground squirrel) tRNA". It matches the Rfam family "tRNA". Rfam says of the family: Transfer RNA (tRNA) molecules are approximately 80 nucleotides in length. Their secondary structure includes four short double-helical elements and three loops (D, anti-codon, and T loops). Lineage: Eukaryota; Metazoa; Chordata; Mammalia; Rodentia; Sciuridae. The record is from Rfam by way of RNAcentral.